Molecule: ribosomal RNA, 254 nt
Filed under: uncultured Lactobacillus sp.
Lineage: Bacteria; Bacillati; Bacillota; Bacilli; Lactobacillales; Lactobacillaceae
Description: partial 16S ribosomal RNA
Rfam family: Bacterial small subunit ribosomal RNA
Source: RNAcentral
AGUAACACGUGGGUAACCUGCCCAAGAGAUCGGGAUAACACCUGGAAACAGAUGCUAAUACCGGAUAAAAGCUACUUUCGCAUGAAAGAAGUUUAAAAGGCGGCGUAAGCUGUCGCUAAAGGAUGGACCUGCGAUGCAUUAGCUAGUUGGUAAGGUAACGGCUUACCAAGGCGAUGAUGCAUAGCCGAGUUGAGAGACUGAUCGGCCACAUUGGGACUGAGACACGGCCCAAACUCCUACGGGAGGCAGCAGCU